RNAcentral lists this ribosomal RNA (253 nucleotides) under uncultured bacterium. RNAcentral describes it as "partial 16S ribosomal RNA". It matches the Rfam family "Bacterial small subunit ribosomal RNA", at positions 524 to 776 of the family's 1533-position model. The record is from RNAcentral.
UACGGAGGGGACUAGCGUUGUUCGGAAUUACUGGGCGUAAAGCGCACGUAGGCGGAUUUGUAAGUCAGGGGUGAAAUCCCGGGGCUCAACCUCGGAACUGCCUUUGAUACUGCAAAUCUCGAGUCCGGAAGAGGUGAGUGGAAUUCCUAGUGUAGAGGUGAAAUGCGUAGAUAUCAGGAGGAACACCGGUGGCGAAGGCGGCUCUCUGGACGGUGACUGACGCUGAGGCGCGAAAGCGUGGGGAGCAAACAGG